Molecule: long non-coding RNA, 246 nt
Organism: Lutra lutra (Eurasian river otter)
Lineage: Eukaryota; Metazoa; Chordata; Mammalia; Carnivora; Mustelidae
Exons: 3
Source: RefSeq, a predicted model, not a curated record
AGAUGCUUAACCAACUGUGCCACCCAGGUGUUCCCUUUUGAAUGGGAGAGUUAUACAUCAGCCCUGGAUCCCCAGCAAUGCACCCUACUUGUACAAAUAAUACAUGUUUGAAGGGAGGAGCCAUGCUUAUAAUUCCUUGCAUUCUCCUGGCAUAUCCGGCACUGGGCUCAGCACAAAGUAGUUGUUGAGGAAAUCCUUGCUGAGUUGAAUCAAAAUCCUUCUGUAGCAGAGCUUUGCAGAACUUGC